AAACUUAAAGGAAUUGACGGGGGCCCGCACAAGCGGUGGAGCAUGUGGUUCAAUUCGACGCAACGCGAAGAACCUUACCUGGGCUCGAACGGCUUCCUAACGGUCGGUGAAAGCCGGCUAUCCCGCAAGGGAGUGGAGUCGAGGUGCUGCAUGGCUGUCGUCAGCUCGUGUCGUGAGAUGUUGGGUUAAGUCCCGCAACGAGCGCAACCCUUGUCCUGUGUUGCAAACCGAAAGGUGCACUCGCAGGAGACCGCCAGCGAUAAGUUGGAGGAAGGUGGGGAUGACGUCAAGUCAUCAUGGCCUUUAUGUCCAGGGCUACACACGUGCUACAAUGGACGGUACAAAGCGCCGCAAACCCGCGAGGGGGAGCAAAUCGCAAAAAACCGUUCUCAGUUCGGAUUGCAGGCUGCAACUCGCCUGCAUGAAGCUGGAAUCGCUAGUAAUGGCAUAUCAGAACGAUGCCGUGAAUACGUUCCCGGGCCUUGUACACACCGCCCGUCACAUCACGAAAGUGGGUUGUACUAGAAGCGCGCAGGCUAACCCGCAAGGGAGGCAGCGUUCCAAGGUAUGACUCAUGAUUGGGGUGAAGUCGUAACAAGGUAGCCGUAGGAGAACCUGCGGCUGGAUCACCUCCUUUAUG
RNAcentral lists this ribosomal RNA (640 nucleotides) under uncultured Bryobacter sp. RNAcentral's name for it is "bacterial SSU rRNA". It matches the Rfam family "Bacterial small subunit ribosomal RNA", at positions 897 to 1533 of the family's 1533-position model. Lineage: Bacteria; Pseudomonadati; Acidobacteriota; Terriglobia; Bryobacterales; Bryobacteraceae. The record is from RNAcentral.